CCUACGGGAGGCAGCAGUGGGGAAUAUUGGGCAAUGGGCGCAAGCCUGACCCAGCAACGCCGCGUGAAGGAAGAAGGCUUUCGGGUUGUAAACUUCUUUUGACGGGGAAGAGCAGAAGACGGUACCUGUCGAAUAAGCAACGGCUAACUACAUGCAAGCAGCCGCGGUAAUACGUAGGUGGCAAGCGUUGUCCGGAUUUACUGGGUGGAAAGGGCGUGUAGCCGGGCUGACAAGUCAGAUGUGAAAUCCGGGGGCUCAACCCCCGAACUGCAUUUGAAACUGUUGGUCUUGAGUAUCGGAGAGGCAGGCGGAAUUCCUAGUGUAGCGGUGAAAUGCGUAGAUAUUAGGAGGAACACCAGUGGCGAAGGCGGCCUGCUGGACGACAACUGACGGUGAGGCGCGAAAGCGUGGGGAGCAAACAGGAUUAGAUACCCUUGUAGUC
RNAcentral lists this ribosomal RNA (442 nucleotides) under uncultured bacterium. Its description in RNAcentral is "partial 16S ribosomal RNA". It matches the Rfam family "Bacterial small subunit ribosomal RNA", at positions 338 to 795 of the family's 1533-position model. The record is from RNAcentral.